UUAGAGAAGAAAGGCCGAGCAAGGGCCAUUGCCGCUUCUGCUCCGGGUAAGAGGAGGGUUCCCUCCCUCCUCUCUCGGCCUGGCCACCGCAAAAUCGGGAGCUUGCACAUGGCAUCGCACCCCUGCAGCCGAGCCGGGAGGGCGCUAAACCCAGUCUCCCUCCAUCCCCCCUCUUAGUCUGUCGCACGGCACAGGCUUGUCACAACUUUUCAUGCGCAUGUGAGUGAAUGUUUUGGGAGGAACACAAUCCUGCCUUUCGAAUCGUUAGCGGGAGGCACACCGACCUUGGCGAAACAAAAUCGAGCCCCGUGCAUUCAUUUCCUGGUCUUCGUUUGUUUUUUUUUUGCAGCCACGCUUUUACGACGUGAUUCAUCUUCAAAAGAACAUUUGGCGUUUUCAUUGCUUUCCAUAGGCAAACAUUUUUAUGUUGUGUUGAAUACAAUCCGUGCUGCCCUGAAACCACCGGCAUAACGGCAGCGAUACACACAACUUCGCCCUGUGUUUUUAACACAUCCCAUGUCACAUUAUCUAUCGAUCAAGGAUGGAAACCCCGUUCAGGCUGAAUGAAAACACUUCAGCAACUUCCAUUCCCUGGGUCUGUCUCAAAUCCUCUUCAGUCUGCAACAUGUCCAUGUGAAAUUAAUUUUCUGGCCUCUGCUUCCACCCAAGCAACCAAGCACCGUCCUCUCAAUGCCAAGCCCCAGGUGCGGUGGUUUUGCAGCGUUCCCAGCAGUCAUUCGGCUCAAGCACCCUUCGCCUUUGUCCAAGCAAUCGAUCCAUGACAGACAAGCCUGCUCUUUCCUUCGCUGUGGAGAGAUUUCCCGUCAGGACUGUGCUACAAGAGAGGCAGAGGCUUUGCCUGACAAGGCUUACAGACCUUCCUGCAGGGGCCUGGAGGCCCUAACAUCAUGCAGGCAGGCAUUCCGUGCCCACAUUUAGAGACCUUCCUUCAGACUGGUCUCAUGCUACUCACAAAGUCUUACAACCUACUGUUUUCUGUAUUUAUCCUUUGCAUCUUGAGUCAUUACAAAUGUGACUGUGCACCGGAGACCUUUUCCUUCUCUAGAGUGAUCAGUAGCUGUGCUUGAGUGGGCUGCUGACAUUUUCUGAACCUGUUUACACCUUAAUCAGAAGUUUGCUCAUAACUGCUAUUUACUGAACUGUUUGGGGGUUUUGUGUUUUUUGGUUGGUUGGUUGAGGGUUUUGUUGUAGACUUCAAAAUGUGCUCAACUUCAUUAUUGAAAUAAAUAGUUCCUGCUUGAAAUCUCACCAAAGUUGCUGGCAAGUCACUGUUGUCAGAGGGCUUUAGGGUCAGACCUGUACCUUUCAAAACAUUCUUUUU
Long non-coding RNA from Pogoniulus pusillus (Red-fronted tinkerbird), 1342 nucleotides. RefSeq lists it as uncharacterized. The transcript is spliced from 2 exons. The record is from RefSeq and is a predicted model, not a curated record. NCBI's taxonomy places the organism in Eukaryota, Metazoa, Chordata, Aves, Piciformes, Lybiidae.